UUGGAGGGCAAGUCUGGUGCCAGCAGCCGCGGUAAUUCCAGCUCCAAUAGCGUAUAUUAAAGUUGUUGCAGUUAAAAAGCUCGUAGUUGAAUUUCGGAAUCAACAUGUUGGUCGUGCCUUGGUACGUACUAAUUUAUUGGUUUCUUCCUUCUGACGAACCAUUAUGUCAUUAAUUUGGUGUCUUGGGGAAUCAGGACUGUUACUUUGAAAAAAUUAGAGUGUUUAAAGCAGGCUCACGCUUGAAUACAUUAGCAUGGAAUAAUGAAAUAGGACGUUUGAUUCUAUUUUGUUGGUUUCUAGGAUCGACGUAAUGAUUAAUAGGGAUAGUUGGG
This 332-nucleotide unclassified non-coding RNA is filed under the name uncultured Glomeraceae. Its description in RNAcentral is "SSU rRNA". It matches the Rfam family "Eukaryotic small subunit ribosomal RNA", at positions 548 to 886 of the family's 1831-position model. Lineage: Eukaryota; Fungi; Glomeromycota; Glomeromycetes; Glomerales; Glomeraceae. The record is from RNAcentral.